Molecule: ribosomal RNA, 396 nt
Filed under: uncultured bacterium
Lineage: Bacteria
Description: bacterial SSU rRNA
Rfam family: Bacterial small subunit ribosomal RNA
Source: RNAcentral
AGCGAACGUUAGCGGCGCGCCUAACACAUGCAAGUCGCACGAGAAAGGGAGCAAUCCCCGGUACAGUGGCGCACGGGUGAGUAACACGUAGAUGACCUUCCCUGGAGUGGUGGAUAACCUGCCGAAAGGCGGGCUAAUACAGCAUGGGACCACAUGGUUUUUGACCGAGUGGUGAAAAGCGGGCCUCUGUUCACAAGCUCGCGCUCUGGGAUGGGUCUGCGUCCCAUCAGCUAGUUGGUGAGGUAAUGGCUCACCAAGGCAUCGACGGGUAGCUGGUCUGAGAGGAUGACCAGCCACGACUGGAACUGAGACAACGGUCCAGACUCCUACGGGAGGCAGCAGUGGGGAAUCUUGCGCAAUGGGCGAAAGCCUGACGCAGCGACGCCGCGUGGGUGA